UGUCAGAACGAACGCUGGCGGCGCGUUUAAGCAUGCAAGUCGAGCGGCAAGGGCCUUCGGGCCCCUAGAGCGGCGGACGGGUGAGUAACACGUGGACAAUCUGCCCCCCGGCCCGGGAUAGCCCAGGGAAACCUGGAUUAAUACCGGAUGAGACGGGACCCGCGAAGGCGGGACCCGGAAAGGCGCUGCGGCGCCGCCGGGGGAUGAGUCUGCGUCCCAUUAGCUAGACGGCGGGGUAACGGCCCACCGUGGCGACGAUGGGUAGCCGGCCUGAGAGGGUGGACGGCCACAUUGGAACUGAGACACGGUCCAGACUCCUACGGGAGGCAGCAGCUAAGAAUCUUCCGCAAUGGGCGAAAGCCUGACGGAGCGACGCCGCGUGAACGAAGAAGGCCGUGAGGUUGUAAAGUUCUUUUCGGGAGGGGGAACAACCGUGGCAGGGAAUGGCCGCGGGAUGACGUGAAUCCCGGAAUAAGCCCCGGCUAACUACGUGCCAGCAGCUGC
RNAcentral lists this ribosomal RNA (504 nucleotides) under uncultured bacterium. Its description in RNAcentral is "bacterial SSU rRNA". It matches the Rfam family "Bacterial small subunit ribosomal RNA", at positions 22 to 518 of the family's 1533-position model. The record is from RNAcentral.